GUCCAGGGCCCUACGGGGCGCAGCAGGCGCGCAADCCUUUACACUGCACGACAGUGCGAUAAGGGAAUCCCAAGUGCGCAGGCAUAGAGCCUGCGCUUUUGUCCACCGUAGGGAGGUGGACGAAUAAGGGCUGGGCAAGACCGGUGCCAGCCGCCGCGGUAAUACCGGCAGCCCGAGUGAUGGCCGAUCUUAUUGGGCCUAAAGCGUCCGUAGCUGGCCGCACAAGUCCAUCGGAAAAUCCACCCGCUCAACGGGUGGGCGUCCGGUGGAAACUGUGUGGCUUGGGACCGGAAGGCGCGACGGGUACGUCCGGGGUAGGAGUGAAAUCCCGUAAUCCUGGACGGACCGCCGAUGGCGAAAGCACGUCUCGAAGACGGAUCCGACAGUGAGGGACGAAAGCUAGGGUCUCGAACCGGAWUAGAUACCCGGGUAGUCCUAGCCGUAAACAAURCCUGCUAGGUGUGGCUCCCACUACGAGUGGGUGCUGUGCCGUAGGGAAGCUGCUAAGCAGGCCGCCUGGGAAGUACGUCCGCAAGGAUGAAACUUAAAGGAAUUGGCGGGGGAGCACUACAACCGGAGGAGCCUGUCGGUUUAAUUGGAUUCA
RNAcentral lists this ribosomal RNA (604 nucleotides) under Halorubrum sp. 2. RNAcentral's name for it is "bacterial SSU rRNA". It matches the Rfam family "Archaeal small subunit ribosomal RNA", at positions 313 to 914 of the family's 1478-position model. The record is from RNAcentral. Lineage: Archaea; Methanobacteriati; Methanobacteriota; Halobacteria; Halobacteriales; Haloferacaceae.